Molecule: ribosomal RNA, 774 nt
Filed under: uncultured Neocallimastigales
Lineage: Eukaryota; Fungi; Neocallimastigomycota; Neocallimastigomycetes; Neocallimastigales
Description: partial large subunit ribosomal RNA
Rfam family: Eukaryotic large subunit ribosomal RNA
Source: RNAcentral
CACGCAUGACACACUGCAUAUCAAUAAGCGGAGGAAAAGAAACUAACUAGGAUUCCCUUAGUAACGGCGGGUGAAGCGGGAAGAGCUCAAAUUUGAAAUCUUCAAGGUUUUACCUUGACGAAUUGUAGUUUAAAGAAGUGUUUUCUGUUGGAGUUUUGGUAAAAGUUCUUUGGAAUAGGACAUCAUAGAGGGUGAGAAUCCCGUAUUUGACCAUUAUUUUCAGCUGUGUGAUACACUUUCAAAGAGUCGGAUUGUUUGGGAAUGCAGUCCAAAAUGGGUGGUAAAUUUCAUCUAAAGCUAAAUAUUGGCGAGAGACCGAUAGCGAACAAGUACCGUGAGGGGAAGAUGAAAAGAACUUUGAAAAGAGAGUUAAACAGUACGUGAAAUUGUCAAAAGGGAAGCGUUUGACACCAGUGUUGUUUUCUCGAAAAUCAAUUAAAAAAGGCCGGAUUUUGUGUUGUAUUGACCUUAAAAGCUUUCUUCACUCUUUUCUUGUCUUUUUUAAUGCACUUUUCGUUUAACAAGUCAACAUCAGUUUCUUUUGUUGUAAAAGAGUCAUUGGAAGGUGGCUUUUUCUUCGGAAAAAGUGUUUAAUAGCCUUUGGCUUCUGCAAUCGGAGAGAUUGAGGUCUGCAGCGUAGAUCCUUCGGGGUUAGAUACAUUUGUGCUAAGCUAUAGUUCUUUAUAGACAACUUGUUGACUAUAAUCAAUCCUGUAACUUACUCGCUUAUGCUAUUUUACCUACGCUUAGGAUGUUGAGCGCAUGUCUCUCUCU